RNAcentral lists this unclassified non-coding RNA (344 nucleotides) under soil metagenome. RNAcentral describes it as "partial contains 5.8S ribosomal RNA, internal transcribed spacer 2, and large subunit ribosomal RNA". The stretch from base 1 to 120 matches the Rfam family "5.8S ribosomal RNA", at positions 35 to 154 of the family's 154-position model. The record is from RNAcentral.
GAUGAAGAACGCAGCGAAAUGCGAUACGUAAUGUGAAUUGCAGAAUUCAGUGAAUCAUCGAGUCUUUGAACGCACAUUGCGCCCCCUGGUAUUCCGGGGGGCAUCCCUGUCCGAGCGUCAUUGCUGCCCUCAAGCACGGCUUGUGUGUUGGGCCUCCGUCCUCCUCCCGGGGGACGGGCCCGAAAGGCAGCGGCGGCACCGCGUCCGGUCCUCGAGCGUAUGGGGCUUCGUCACCCGCUCUUGUAGGCCCGGCCGGCGCUUGCCGACACAUCAAUCUUUUUUCCAGGUUGACCUCGGAUCAGGUAGGGAUACCCGCUGAACUUAAGCAUAUCAAUAAGCGGGGA